Taeniopygia guttata (zebra finch) is the source of this 3200-nucleotide non-coding RNA. Lineage: Eukaryota; Metazoa; Chordata; Aves; Passeriformes; Estrildidae. The record is from RefSeq and is a predicted model, not a curated record.
GGGUUCUGUGAUUGUGAGCGAUUUCCCUGUGGUGACUUGUGCCCCUUGGCACUGGGGGAGUGAAAUCCAGUGCACUGGGAGCACUGGGAAGAGCCCUGGAGCUCCAGGUCCCUGCCAGUUUGGUACAGCAUUAGAGAAUGUCUAAUGGUGGGUGUGUUUUUAUGUCACAAAGAGUCGCAGAGUUAAGCAGGAUAACAUCUACUACCCUACUGUGUCAGCGUAGAGGGAAAAUAAAGGCAUGACAGCUGUUAUUAGACACUGGAAGCACAAAAUAAAUCUGUUUCCAAGAGCACCAUUGUGAAUGAGAAAGGAGAGAGAGAAUUAUCCCUUGCUGGUGGCUUUUAGCAUAGCAGGAAACUGGAUGUAUGAACUCGAAAUAACCUUUGAAGUGAUCACCCUGGAAAGAACAGAGAGUUCCAUGUGAAAAGGCAUUGAAGUCAGUUCAUGUGAUGCACACUUCUGGGUUCCCACUUCCCACAGGAGCACAGCAGAAGACAAGGUCCUUUAUUAACUUAACCAAGCACGAAUUUGUCUUACAAUUUUCCCAUUCAUUCCAAUGGGACAUGAAUAUUUUGUUUCCUAAUCAGCACAAUUAGCCCGGAGCUCAGGUUGCAGUGUGUCACUGCAGUGACAGCUCCCCCUGAAUGACAGCUCCUCUCUGUAGUGAGAAAUGACAGCAUUUGUAAACCAGGGUUGUCUAAAGAGAAGACUCUGUUCUGGAGUGACUAUUUCCCAGUUAAUCAUUGCUGCAUUUUACAGCACACCUUCAAUAUACUUAUUUUAAACUGAUCUGGCUGGUCUGCUGAAAGGGACCCGAAUGGUGUGUAGCAGAAUAUUCUAUUGCAGCACCUACUAGCAGAAUAUUGUUGAUGGCAAUUAGAGGAUUCUCAGACACACUGUGAAAUGUGAUCCAGUAAAAAAGUCACUAGUGAUGGGUGUCAGAGUUUGUCAUGCUCACCUCGGUGGCAAAACUCUUGCCAUGCUUUUUGUGGUCACUUGGGCAGUUACUGUCACCAGCCUCUUCCUAAUGGAAACCUUAUUUUUUUUAUGCAGCAGAAGCCACCACCUGUGUCUCUGAAUGUGUGUUUGCGUGCACAUAUAUAUUAUAUAUUGUCAUUUAUAUAAUAAUUAUGUAUAAUCAUUAUUCCAUUUAUCCUUAAGCCACUGGCAUCUGGCUUAACAAAAAGGAAUGAGUAUUUUACACUCAUGAGCACAGGAAAGGAGUCUUGGACUGAAGGCUGACUUGGAAGCUCUCACAUAAUUUUCAUGCUCAUCAGCAUAGCCAGAAAUCUGAAUUUAAAUCACUGCAAGGUUUGGUAAGUAUUUUAAACACAACUUUUGGAACCUCAGUUUCUAUCUGCAAUACAUGGACUGUAUUUAGUUUCAGAUCUUUGGACAAGGGAUCAACUCAUGAAUGUUUGGAUGGCAGCAAGCACAGGCCUCUAUUUGUACCUGCAGACCAGGGAAAUUACUGCAAAAUACAUCUCUAAUUCUAAGAAUAAUGUCACCCCUCCUCUCAAAAUGAGAAAAAAACCUGCCAGCACCAUAAGUGCUUCUGAACACUUUCAGAAUGUUCAGGAAAUCUGCAAAUUGUCAGAAAGUUUUAAGGCAUAUUAUGGCAGAAAUCUUGACAUAAGUGUGCUGCAGACAUCAAAAAGACUAAUGCUGGUGUCGUGCUGAUUUCAUUUUCCUUUUGUUGUAUAAAUACACACACAGUACUUUAAAAAUAUUGGAGGUGAUCUGAAGUGGUUCAUAAAACCUUGCUGGUUUGCAAAUCACUGGGAUAUUUGAACUGCAUUGGAUGGUUCUGAGUUAGUGUCUGGAGGCACCUUGCAUUCUGCUAUUCCUUGGGAUUGCAUCUGCAAGUUAUGGAUGUGCAAUAUUGAUCCAGAAACUUGGCAUUUCAGCUUGGAGAAAAAGAGCAGCUUCUGUGUAGGAUCUGUGGUGUGAAAUUCCACAGAAAUGCUCGUGGUAACUUCAACAGCUUCUCCUUUGUUUAAAAAAAGUGCUGCUGGUUUUGUCUUCCCACUGCACUUCAGUGGAAGAAGCUCCUUUUUUUUUUUUUUUUUUUAGGCUCUUCACUGUCAGCUUUCCUCUGGAGAUUUUUCUCUAACAAAUCAUGAUGUAUUUUUUUGGUAAAACCCAGAGACUUUGAAAGGAGCACUGCUUCCUAGUGCAUACAUCUAUACAUUUUAUUCACUCUAUAUAGACAUACAUGGUUGGUAAAUAUUUGGUGUGUUGGCAGUUGAAGAAGGUUUCUCUGGAAAGGAUGACUGAAACCAGCGAUGAUUCUGGAUUUCAAGUAAUUAAAUGAUGUUCAAAUAGUUUCCCAAAUGUUAAAUAAUCUUAAUGGAAAAAAAAACCCCUCUAAUGUUCAGCAUUUAAUGACCAAGAAAAUGUGUUUUCAGCAGUUUAAAUGCAUUUGAAAUAUUUCAGUAUUUUACACUGUUAAUGCCUAAAUUACUUAGGCUAAUAAGAGGACAUUUGACUUGUAUUUCUGUUACUUACGUGCCUGUAAGAUUUCCCACAGCCAUUUGGCAUGGGACAGCUGAGUGUACCUAAUUAUCAUCUCAAGAUCCAGUCACUGAUUUUUUCCCCCACCCCCAUGCUAUAUUUACCUUUCAUGUGAUGGGUUAUAAAAACUCUUAUUCUGAGGGCUCAGUAAUCCGUGUUUUAGCAGGGUGGGUUCAAAACUUUCUGCAGUCACAGAGAGUCUUGCCUGGGUGUUUUCCAGAAAGCAAAGCCAAGUUUAUGUAACAGAAACAGAACACGAAACGUGUGGCAGGCAGGAUUUGUGAUCAUCCUGCUCCCAACCUCUGCCACCUCAACCUUGGUUUAUGUUGUUUUGUUGCUUUUUCUACUCACUAAUUAACAUUUCUCCUCUGUCCCAGGAUAGCUGAGUGCAGUGUGCCCAGCAAUCAUUAGAACCACUUGAAAGCUUUUCUUAGAAUUGCUGCCAUGAUGAGACCAGGUGACAAAACAGUGAAAUGCUGUAUCUUGAGAAAAAUGUGAAGCUGGUGUCAUGUAACACUUCUGUGAUGAUAGAUUAGCCAAUGUAAUUGCAGGAAAUAAAUGUCAUCACCUGUAUGAAGAUAAAUAGCUUUUCCUACACUAGCAUGCUUUUGCACAUAAAAUGUGUCAUUUUACCAGUUGUCCCCAUUUUUUUGCCAAAUAAAUUUUAUAAUGGCCAUAAAAGGAAA